This 111-nucleotide ribosomal RNA is filed under the name Frullania fertilis. Its description in RNAcentral is "partial 5.8S ribosomal RNA". The record is from RNAcentral. Lineage: Eukaryota; Viridiplantae; Streptophyta; Jungermanniopsida; Porellales; Frullaniaceae.
AAAAACACUCGAGGGGAUCGCACUGUCGAGGUGCGAUUGUCGACGAUGCGAUUCCGGGACUCGCAGGCGCCCGUCCCCCGCGAGGGUAGAGGCGUCAAGGUGCCACCGGGG